This 74-nucleotide transfer RNA is filed under the name Candidatus Portnoyibacteriota bacterium. RNAcentral describes it as "tRNA-Ile". It matches the Rfam family "tRNA". Rfam says of the family: Transfer RNA (tRNA) molecules are approximately 80 nucleotides in length. Their secondary structure includes four short double-helical elements and three loops (D, anti-codon, and T loops). Further hydrogen bonds mediate the characteristic L-shaped molecular structure. tRNAs have two regions of fundamental functional importance: the anti-codon, which is responsible for specific mRNA codon recognition, and the 3' end, to which the tRNAs corresponding amino acid is attached (by aminoacyl-tRNA synthetases). tRNAs cope with the degeneracy of the genetic code in two manners: having more than one tRNA (with a specific anti-codon) for a particular amino acid; and 'wobble' base-pairing, i.e. permitting non-standard base-pairing at the 3rd anti-codon position. Lineage: Bacteria; Candidatus Portnoyibacteriota. The record is from RNAcentral. RNAcentral also lists the same sequence under 1 other name.
GCGCGUGUAGCUCAGCUGGUUAGAGCGUUGCUCUGAUAAGGCAAAGGUCCCUGGUUCGAGUCCAGGCACGCGCA